Molecule: long non-coding RNA, 269 nt
Filed under: Erythranthe guttata (spotted monkey flower)
Lineage: Eukaryota; Viridiplantae; Streptophyta; Magnoliopsida; Lamiales; Phrymaceae
Description: long non-coding RNA (EGUT_LNC000855)
Source: RNAcentral
AAAAUCUUCACACCCCCAAGUUUAAUAAAUAAUCACACCCCUCCACCACUACACCACCACCACUUCACUAAUCCCACCACCGUCCGCCGCCGCCGCCGCCGCCGCCAUGAAAGAAGAAGAUAAGAGCAGCUUCCGUACAAAACACGUCGGAGAUGAGUACACGAUGAGAUCAUUCCGGCGGAGAUGCGGCCGUCUGGUGAAGGAGCAGAGAGCUAGGUUUUACAUCCUCCGCCGCUGCGUCGUCAUGUUGCUUUGCUGGCAAGAUAAUU